UGAUAAACAAUACAUUAGUGGAAAGUACGUGCUAGCCGAGAGGCGACAACUAGUAAAACCAGUCGAAAAAAACAAAAAAAUAA
RNAcentral lists this unclassified non-coding RNA (83 nucleotides) under Geotrichum tetrasporum. RNAcentral describes it as "Dipodascus tetrasporeus ITS1". The record is from RNAcentral. Lineage: Eukaryota; Fungi; Ascomycota; Dipodascomycetes; Dipodascales; Dipodascaceae.